UGCCAAAGCCAAAGUUCUCUCCUAAAGUUUUGUGCAAACAUAGAAUCAAUACAUGCCACCCAAAAGAAAAGGAAAAGAUACAUUCACAAUUCAAACCAUAAAAUAUCUUCAGGGUUCUAUGUUCUUGCUUGAAUUUAGGGUUUAUCUAUGCUCAUUAGUUAGUUGCAUUUCAUAAUUUUAUUUGAGUCCUUGAUUAUCCCCUAUUUAAUGCAUUUUUGCGAUUAAUAAAAAAAUUGCACAGUGACAGGACAUCAACAGCAGCUGUUUCCAUUGCACACAACCAUAACUGGGAUUGCUGACACAAGUAAUGAUUUAAAUCCAUGAUGUAAAAUUUCCAGCAUUAAGUUAUAAUCAUCAAACUAACCUUCUUUUCUUUCUCCAA
This 382-nucleotide unclassified non-coding RNA is filed under the name Hevea brasiliensis (rubber tree). Lineage: Eukaryota; Viridiplantae; Streptophyta; Magnoliopsida; Malpighiales; Euphorbiaceae. The record is from RNAcentral.